This 452-nucleotide ribosomal RNA is filed under the name uncultured bacterium. RNAcentral's name for it is "bacterial SSU rRNA". It matches the Rfam family "Bacterial small subunit ribosomal RNA", at positions 355 to 803 of the family's 1533-position model. The record is from RNAcentral.
UGGGGAAUAUUGCGCAAUGGCCGCAAGGCUGAACGCAGCGACGCCGGCGUGUGGGAUGACGGCCUUCGGGUUGUAAACCGACUGUCGGGAGGGGACGAAGUACUCGGCCUAGCCGAGGGUGACGGUACCUCCAAAGGAAGCACCGGCUAACUCCGUGCCAGCAGCCGCGGUAAUACGGAGGGUGCGAGCGUUGUCCGGAAUCACUGGGCGUAAAGGGCGCGUAGGCGGCUCGUUAAGUGGCUGGUGAAAUCCCGGGGCUCAACUCCGGGGCUGCCGGUCAGACUGGCGGGCUCGAGCACGGUAGAGGCGGAUGGAAUUCCCGGUGUAGCGGUGGAAUGCGUAGAUAUCGGGAAGAUACCGGUGGCGAAGGCGUUCCGCUGGGCCGUUGCUGACGCUGAGGCGCGACAGCGUGGGGAGCAAACAGGAUUAGAUACCCUGGUAGUCCACGCCGU